GUCAGCAGGAAGAAAAGCAGUAUAUCUGCUGCUGCUGCCUGCUUUUCCAAGGAGCUUUUUUUAAUACUUCAGGGAACAAGAAGAUUGCUGCCGCCACUUUUGCAUGAUCUUCCUACAAAUUAGGAACUGAAAAGGUCCAGGGAGCAUCUCCUGCUCAGUCUUUAGCCAGAAGCUCACUGAACGUCAUCAUUAACAGGCCAAUCGUAGCAUGAAGAGCCCUCCCACUGAUAAGAUAUUUAGGUAGGUGUAAAUAGACGGAAGACAGAAGAGAGGAGAGCGACGCAACAUAUACUUACUUCUCGGUUUAUCCGAAUCUUAGCAAGCCCAAGUGGACACAGGUUCAAGAGAAAAAGAGAUCAGAGACAGACAGAUUAGUGAGACACAAUCUGAGGAAGGGCGGAACAUUUAGUAGAGGGAACACACUGAACAGCAACACAGACAAGCAGAAAAGGAGCAGCAAUGAACUCUGGGAUUGAGUGUGGCCUCAUUCAACUCAAUUAACUAAUUCAAACCAAGAAGAGCUAGAACUAAACACACAUCCAUAUUUGAAAUCCGCGCCACUUCCAAUUUCGCCAUUCCAACUUUAAUCUGACAUUUAAAUUUGAGUGUUGAAGAUGACAUUUUUUCCUUCGAAAUUUGCAUUGAAGUUCGCAUGGCAAAACUGGAAGUGGUGGUGAAUUUCAAGUAUUUGUGAAUGGACAGGUCACCUAAGAGCAUAAUUGUCUCAGGGCAACAGUGCUGAGAAAUGAACACUUCUGCAUCUGACAACAAGGGACUGAGAGACACAAUACUGAUGGUAUAGCCUCUGCAAUAGUUCUGCACAUACAUCUAAGCCCAUCCUGAUCUGCUUCCACACCAUCCUCCAUGGACGGGGAAAGGAAAUGGAAUCACUAGUCUCUGAAAGUGAAGAGGGCUCCAAAAAGAAUUGAAAUGGCUGCAUACAGAUGCAGGGAGAAGAAACUUGAAGGGUGAGAGAGCAAGAAACGAGGGAAGCAAUAGAGACCAAGACAAUUCUAUAGAUAACACAACCAUGAAGGUUUCUAUGAGACCAAAAAGAAAAAAGAAAACACUCAAACACAUAACUCUGGGAUUUUGCUGAAGAGGAGGCUGUUGGUGAAGCAAGGGGAAAUGGCCAAGGCAUCAAGGUACUUACAUCAAUGUAGUUGGCAUUGAUAUAGUCCGAGUUGGGAUCGCCCAGGAGCGGGUGGAGCUUUACUCGAUGACGGUCAUCUGAAAACAAAACAAGAAGGGCCCAUCAAUGAAGGGGGGAUCGUAAUCACUUGAAUUUAACAUACCAUAAGCUUGGAGUAGUCUACAAUUAAGCUUCCUAUCAUUUUCUGCAGAGGAGGUUCUCGAGACAUCUAUAUCCAGAAGCAAAUCGAGUGUGUCAGAGCAGAUACCGAUGCUUCCGAACCAGCCAGCAACAGGCUACCUCUCUAAACAGGCACUACAUAUCGGUGUGCAAGAAGAAGUGAAAUGUCAGAGAAGCCACCGCCUCUUGUAGAGAAACCAAAUUAGAAGUGAUGGGAGAGUGAAUGCAAUCGUACAAGCCUGUGAGCUUCACCCUGCAGGGAAAUAAAUUGGGAUAUAAGAUGACCCUUGAAUAUCAGCUGCAUGGCCUGGAGCUCCAUAGACACUUGACUUGCUGCGCUGCGCACAGAGACAUGACAGUGAAUCUUAUACUCGGCUUUAGAUGCCAUCAGAAUAAAUUCAGAGAAUAAGGCGUUCAGAGCAGCUGGUGGUAGCAAAUCAAUGGCUUGAUUAAUAUGUGGGAAGGCUUCUGGGGUUCGGAAGUCUUUCCCAGCACAAACUCAAGGCCAAACCCAGGAUCACUGCAGACAUUGCACAAAGCCUGUCACUGAGAGUGGGACACUUCCAGCACAAGGGGUCAUAUGUGGAGUUUGAAUCCUUUUGCAUCUGACUCGGCUAUUGUGCCAUUGUACAAAAAACCCCUGCCUUUUGCAUCCUGUUCCACCGCUUAUAGACGCUUCUCAAUGACAGGCAGUGAGGCAGGCACAUUGGCAGGGGUGACUCUAGAGCAACUAGCUUGCGGCAGAAAAAGGGGUGGUAAAGGACGUUAUUAGUGGAGUGGGGAUUUUGCUAUACAUUGAGGUCAUUCACACAAUCACAAUCUAUGUUCUACCCGGGUUUGGGAGCUGUGUGCUCCCAAUUUUCGGUUGUGUCGA
Hemicordylus capensis (graceful crag lizard) is the source of this 2186-nucleotide long non-coding RNA. RefSeq lists it as uncharacterized. The record is from RefSeq and is a predicted model, not a curated record. Lineage: Eukaryota; Metazoa; Chordata; Lepidosauria; Squamata; Cordylidae. The transcript is spliced from 3 exons.